AUGAGCCCCUGUGCACCGCCUGGAUUUUCAGCCGCCCUGCGGGGGCCUGGGGCACGGUGCACGCUCGGCUUCUGGAAGCUUCUCUGUGGUGGGGCCAGGCCGGCGGGCUGUGGGAAGGGGCGGCAGCUCACGCAGCGUCACGGGCGGGGACCGAGGAACCGGCGCGAGUCAGUGCGUGUCCACGGCCGGCAGCGCGGAGGCCCGGCCCGACUCUCGUGGGCGCCAGGGCGCGGCCGUCCUCGGGGCAGGCGGGAGCUCCCGCGGCAGCUCCCGGGCUGUCCCCAGCGUCCGUCCGUCCCACACCCGUCCCCGUCCCUAACCCCCCGUCCCUCCUGCACCCGUCCCCGUCCCCAGCGUCCGUUCCUCUGGCACCCAUCCCCGUCCCCGUCUCUCUCCCUCACCCAUCUCUCUCUCGCACCCGUCCCUGUCCCUCGCCCGCACCUGUCCCCGUCCCCAUCCCCGUCCCGUCCCCCUCCCGUCCCGUCCCCCGUCCGCACCAGCCACCGCCCCCCACCGUCCCGCGGGGUCCCGCCAUGGCGCCCCGCGUCCCGCCAUCCGGCACACACACCCCGGGCCGCGGCCGUGGUCCUCACCGCCUCCGGGCGGAGACCGCGCGGGGCCACCUGCGCCCCCACCUGCGCCCCCACCUGCGCCCCCACCGGCCUGGCGACGGCUACCCGCCCCGCGCGCCCCGCUGCGGCCUUCCCGGACAGGGACACGGCGCCCGCGUGGCCGCCCCCGAGGCUCCCUCGCCACCUCGCGUGCAUCACACCCGCCACGCUGGUCUUCGCGCUCUUGUCUUUCUCGCGUUUUCCCCGGGAGGAAAUAUUUAGAACCAAACAAACGUCUACAAUAGCCGCAGCCAGUUACGAAGCGCAUUUGCCGAGAACGCGAACUGCUCCGCGGGACCCGCAGCUGAGCCCCCAGCGCCCUCCACGCCUCGCCAGGCCCACGCAGAAGCGCUCGCCUUCCCGCAUGUGUUUAACCCUGGCGCGCACUACAGCUCCGCCUUCCAACAUUUCAAUUCAAAAACUCCUUAGUGGGGAAUUAAAGUUUUAUCUUUAUCAAUGA
Molecule: long non-coding RNA, 1071 nt
Filed under: Canis lupus familiaris (dog)
Lineage: Eukaryota; Metazoa; Chordata; Mammalia; Carnivora; Canidae
Description: lncRNA (ENSCAFG00000059345.1)
Source: RNAcentral